CAAAUAGUAUAGGUUUAUAAAACCAACAUACUAAGCAGUUUGUGUUAAAGGAGGAAAAGCACUGCUACAGAACAAUUAUAGUUAAAUGGGUCGCUAUAUCCACUUGCUUUUUAUUUUUCAGAAAUGCUCUAUUUCUCGUUUGUCAUCUAUGCUCAAAGUAGGGAUAGUUAUGGGAACUGCAAAGAAACAGCAGAACUUUGUAUAGUUAAUUCUGGUUUUCUUUAACCCCUUAAACCUGUUGCUGGAAUCUGGAGCUGUGGUCACCAUAUAAACCAAGGUUAAUGGGAGACUCAAGACUUACUGGAACAUUGGAAUCACAGGAAUGUGUAAUCGUGUUUUUAAAAUGUGCAUUGAAGUGCAAAAUACAAUUCACUCCGGUUAUCUUUGCAGCAUUUUACUUGAAAGCUAAUGUAUCAAUGGUUGAGAGAUGGCUGGAGAUAUGGGCAGUGUCUGUAUAUGUGUUCCAACAUUUUACCGAUGCAUACAUAGAAGACCCAAACAAUUGUAAAUGUAUUUGUGAUAAUACAAUUUAUCUUGCAAAUCACAUUUUACCUGUGUUAUUCCAAGACCAAUAAUUACAUGGUUACAAUCACUUUUAUGUAACAUUGCUAUGUAGACUUCAAUCAAUUCUCUGCAGCUCUGUUUUUACAUAGCACAUUCACCGGCUUAAUUCAACCUGAUGAAUUCAGCGUCCAGCAAUACAAAAAUUAGCCGUGCAUCUAUUGUGUUUAAUUACCUGCUAUUCUGCAUACAAGCAGUCUCUUGUUUUCUGCCAAUGGCCACGAGUCAGUGCUUGGGAAUAUUUUGUUGCAAAUUCUGUUUUAAAAUACAUUUCUUCCUACAGUCAUAUGGUAGAUCAGGGAAUUGGAAUCCUGUGCCAGCUAACAUAAAUAAGAAUGACAUGACACAAUUAAAAUGCAUUGUAGACUGAAAGAAUGUAAUAUUUAUUUAUAUAUUAUAUAAAUUGUGAUUAAAUACUUUGUGUCAUCCAA
Molecule: long non-coding RNA, 992 nt
Organism: Spea bombifrons (plains spadefoot toad)
Lineage: Eukaryota; Metazoa; Chordata; Amphibia; Anura; Pelobatidae
Exons: 2
Source: RefSeq, a predicted model, not a curated record